ACGGCUCACCAAUGUGCAGAUGCACACAUGGCGUAGUUUUUUUUUUAAGAUCCUCAAGCUUGUGGCCUACGCACGGUGGCUGACCUUGCUCGGCAGCGCGCUGACGCUGGUGCGUCACUGCCAGUGCCACUUUGCUCCACCGGUCCACCUCUAUCUCCUUGCUGUUUGAAUUUCUAAUUCUAUAACUUGUGAAGUGUGAUUUUAUCUUUAUUGAUUAUUGUAUAUCAAUUGAUUGUAUUCAAUGUGUGUUUCUUUCAAAUUUAUAGAAAAUGAGGAGAUUCUUGGUUUCUAGAAGUUCAGCGUCGGAACCACAAGGUGGUGCACAACCAACACAACCAAAUCCACCAUAAACUCAAUCUAGAGGGGGCGGCGAGAUCAAUAUGCACUACCCCAGAAUCGCUCAAAGGUGGCAUGACUGUCUUGUGACACUAGCUAAAAACACGUCACUAACAAAAUUAUCUUUAUGAUGUCUGUUGUAAAAACACGUCAUUAGCAAAAUAUGGUAAUAACACAGUGACGUAUUUUAUUUUACAUGUCUCUACUACGAUUAGUUUAGUGACAUAUAUUUAAA
This 571-nucleotide long non-coding RNA is filed under the name Zea mays. RNAcentral describes it as "long non-coding RNA (ZMAY_LNC003348)". Lineage: Eukaryota; Viridiplantae; Streptophyta; Magnoliopsida; Poales; Poaceae. The record is from RNAcentral.